AGUGAACGCUGGCGGCGUGCUUAACACAUGCAAGUCGAACGAGUAAGUGUCUGUAGCAAUACAGAAUUACUGCUAGUGGCAGACGGGUGAGUAAUACAUGGGAAUCUGCCUUAGAGACGAGGAUAACAGUUGGAAACGACUGCUAAUACUCGAUAUUGCCGAGAGGUGAAAUGAAUUUCGCUCUAAGAUGAGCCCAUGCAAGGUUAGCUAGUUGGUGAGGUAAUGGCUCACCAAGGCUACGAUCUUUAGCUGAUUUGAGAGGAUGAUCAGCCACACUGGGACUGAGACACGGCCCAGACUCCUACGGGAGGCAGCAGUGGGGAAUAUUGGACAAUGGGCGAAAGCCUGAUCCAGCGACGCCGCGUGAGU
RNAcentral lists this ribosomal RNA (369 nucleotides) under uncultured bacterium. RNAcentral describes it as "bacterial SSU rRNA". It matches the Rfam family "Bacterial small subunit ribosomal RNA", at positions 29 to 406 of the family's 1533-position model. The record is from RNAcentral.